Molecule: ribosomal RNA, 253 nt
Filed under: uncultured bacterium
Lineage: Bacteria
Description: partial 16S ribosomal RNA
Rfam family: Bacterial small subunit ribosomal RNA
Source: RNAcentral
UACGUAGGGUGCGAGCGUUGUCCGGAAUUAUUGGGCGUAAAGGGCUCGUAGGCGGUCUGUCACGUCGGGAGUGAAAACCUGCGGCUUAACCGCAGGCCUGCUUCCGAUACGGGCGAGCUAGAGUUCGGCAGGGGAGACUGGAAUUCCUGGUGUAGCGGUGGAAUGCGCAGAUAUCAGGAGGAACACCGGUGGCGAAGGCGGGUCUCUGGGCCGAUACUGACACUGAGAAGCGAAAGCGUGGGGAGCGAACAGG